AGUGAACGCUGGCGGUAGGCCUAACACAUGCAAGUCGAACGGCAGCACAGUAAGAGCUUGCUCUUACGGGUGGCGAGUGGCGGACGGGUGAGGAAUACAUCGGAAUCUACUUUUUCGUGGGGGAUAACGUAGGGAAACUUACGCUAAUACCGCAUACAACCUACGGGUGAAAGCAGGGGAUCUUCGGACCUUGCGCGAUUGAAUGAGCCGAUGUCGGAUUAGCUAGUUGGCGGGGUAAAGGCCCACCAAGGCGACGAUCCGUAGCUGGUCUGAGAGGAUGAUAAGCCACACUGGAACUGAGACAAGGUCCAGACUCCUACGGGAGGCAGCAGUGGGGAAUAUUGGACAAUGGGCGCAAGCCUGAUCCAGCCAUACCGCGUGGGUGAAGAAGGCCUUCGGGUUGUAAAGCCCUUUUGUUGGGAAAGAAAAGCAGAAGGUUAAUACCCCGCUGUUCUGACGGUACCCAAAGAAUAAGCACCGGCUAACUUCGUG
This 492-nucleotide ribosomal RNA is filed under the name uncultured bacterium. Its description in RNAcentral is "partial 16S ribosomal RNA". It matches the Rfam family "Bacterial small subunit ribosomal RNA", at positions 29 to 507 of the family's 1533-position model. The record is from RNAcentral.